UGGUUGUUUUCUAGAUAAUGAAAGGAGUCACAUUUCUGCAUGUUAUUGUCAGUGCAGCUGCCAAAGUAGAUGUUAAACAGUUGUAUCAAUUCUAGAUUUGGCUCAGCUUUGCAGAAAUCGUCAGAGAUGAGACACGUUUUGUGUGUUUGAUGUUAGUUUUUACAGCUCGGCCAUCAAUCAAAAUACCCGGCUGAUGCUGCAGACAGAUGGAAGGAUCAGACUUCGACAUGCAGACGGUCACAAAGGCCAGACAGAAAGGUGAUCUCUUUGUUUUCCAUCUCAGUCGAAUUGUUUGUUGUGGUCGACGCAGACAGGAGGAGAGAGAGCGACAGCUGGAGGAGGAGGAGAAGAAACCGGAGACCACAGUUCCACCCACAGGCACGAGCCUCUCAGGUUGGUUUUCUUGCUCGAACACGUUGCUGCCAGGAUGAACGUUGGCUCAGCGGAUGACUGGUCCAUGCAGAUUUCCUGUCAGGCUUUCAGAGCUCGCAGGGUGAAGAGUUGUGACGCCGCCCCAGUGGCCCACCAGUCAUCUGAGGCACCAUAUACUGGAGCUGUCCUCCCAGUUUGAACCACUGGUUAAGGUGUUGCGGUUGAACCUCUUGCCCUGCCGAAGACAUGACUCUGGAGUUUCCCUGCACUGACACUGGCAGGUGUCGGGGUUCAGCGGCUGAUUUCCAGGACAGUCUGCAGUGCAAACGCAGCCACACAGCUCGUCAUCCCACCGCUGGCCAGCAGGGCAAAACUUCCCGUCAGCUGGGCCUUCACACUGGCAUUCACCUGGCAGAAGAUCAACCACAGAGGAAAAGAGGGAAUGUGUUGUGGUCCAGUUUCCAGCCUGGAUCACAGCUGGCUUCGGUGAGUCCGUUUUGACAGACGCACUCGCAGGUCGAGUCCUCCAGAACCCUGUUGGGCCCACAAAGAGCCAGGAGGCCUGAGUCGAGCACCUCUGGAAGACGCAUGGAAGAAAGUGAAAAAUGGUGAUCUGUUGCUGCUCGUCUGAUGAUGGAGUGGAGCGGCCGCUUGGACAGGCAUUCGCACGAAGUGUGGUUGAUGAAAGUCACCAUGACGACAGAGCGAUCCAUCCUGGGUGGGGACAGCUCCAUCAGCUGGCAGCGAGAAGGAUAAAGGGCAAAGCACUUACCGACAACUGUAAAAUAAAUUAUGGGGAACUGGACUGACAGGCGGGAAAAGAAGAAGCCGAAGAGAGACGAGAGGGCCAACGAGGAGGGAGAAAGAGGUUUUAGCCUCGGUUUGGACAGUGUGCUGUAAAUUGUCAUGGCCUGAGGGCAGAAGAACAACAUGGCAGCGGAUUCCCCACUCGUCUGACGCCUGGUUGAUGGAGUGGACGAUGUUUAAAUUAAGAGACUCCCUUUCCUGGAAAACCAGAAAGCCAGCACAAUUAAGUGAAUUACCGGCUCUAAGAUGCGGUGAAAGCGUCCCAUCCUCUCGACCACCCAGGCCUCCUGCUGCGGCACAAACAGCACCACGGUGUUCAUGGGUAACCGGGAGGCCCAUCGCUGCUGGACUGGACUCACCCACAACCUGGGAGCUGUAUGCUGGGAGCUCUGCACACAGAGUCCAUGUGCCACACAUCAGUCUGCUGGUGAUUCAGAGCUCCGUCCUCCAACAGCGGCUGGAGCUGCUGUCUGUGACUGAAUGAGACACACCUGAGACACGGCAGCAACAAACAGCCUCAUAUAAAGGACGACCAUGACAGUAAAGGGUCCGACAAAGGAGAAGCAGGCAUCUACUGUGCUGGACAUGUGGCUGAUGAACUGAUGAACCGAACUGACCUGGGAGUUUGGCCAGCAGUCCCUCCCAGGAUUUGUCCCUCGCUGCCGCAGCAUCCCUGCCAAUGUAAACCCCCAGAACCUUGACGCUCUCCUGGGCCUCUUCAAAUUCCCAAAUGUUUGGCGGCCGAGCCACCAAGCCACAAAACAUAAUUUGUGACUUUUCUGUGUUCACCCGUGCUCCCGAUGCUCUACAAAAAGUGUCCAGGUGCGUGAUUACACUGUCCACCUGUCCUGAGUUCUUGAGAAAUAAGUUUGUGUCGUCUGCAAAUUGUACUAUUUUAAUGUGUCUUUGUGCUGGUGUUAUGAUCCCCGUUAUGUGCCUGUCUGUGAUAAUCAGCUUGGCCAGUGGCUCGGCCGCUAAACUGUACAAAAGCGCAGAGAGAGGACAGCCCUGCCUGAUUGAGCAUUGGAGUUGGAUUGGUUUCGUUAAGAACCCAUUACAUUUUAUUUGACUGUGUGCAUUGUUGUACAAUAAUUGUAACCAGCCCAUGUACCUGCUCCUCAACCCCAGUGUCUUUGCAUCUUGAUCCAAAAGGCUCCACAUGUGAACUUCUGAAUAAUAGUGAAGAUCAUCAUCACCAGAAAUGUCAGUAGUCAUUCCUUAUUCAUAAUAGAAGAAAAAAUAAAUACCUGUGGAAGCUGCUGAUGGAUCCACAAGUGUAGAAAACUA
Molecule: long non-coding RNA, 2466 nt
Organism: Amphiprion ocellaris (clown anemonefish)
Lineage: Eukaryota; Metazoa; Chordata; Actinopteri; Pomacentridae
Exons: 12
Source: RefSeq, a predicted model, not a curated record